ACGUCCGAGGAGCGUUGCAACAAAAUGAUUCCGUCAUUUCUGCCAUAUAGUUGAAAAAUACGGAAAUAUUUUAGCCAGGCUCGGAUUCUUCAAAACGGCGCUCACGUUAC
This 110-nucleotide non-coding RNA is filed under the name Oxalobacter formigenes. RNAcentral's name for it is "SAH sequence". It matches the Rfam family "SAH (S-adenosyl-L-homocysteine) riboswitch aptamer". Lineage: Bacteria; Pseudomonadati; Pseudomonadota; Betaproteobacteria; Burkholderiales; Oxalobacteraceae. RNAcentral also lists the same sequence under 1 other name. The record is from RNAcentral.